This 1806-nucleotide long non-coding RNA is filed under the name Mytilus galloprovincialis (Mediterranean mussel). The record is from RNAcentral. Lineage: Eukaryota; Metazoa; Mollusca; Bivalvia; Mytilida; Mytilidae.
CUGNUGACUUUGUAAUUACUUAUUGUUUGAAAUGUUUGGCCUCUAAGUUAAGAUAAAACUCCUACAUUGGAAAGAAAAAAAAUAGAUAAAAAAAAUACAAAAAUGAAAAAAAUGUCUUUGAUUGCUGUUUGUUUAUUAUUCACAUCGCGUAUUCAAUAUAACAUGUUUAAUGAAUGUGUUUGGAUAGCCCAUUCGGACAACACUCAAAAUAUAUAUGUUACAGGGAAUUUGUGAAAUCAGUGAUUUUGUAAAAUCACUGAAAUUUCAGGGAAUUUGUAAAAUCACUGAACUGAUUAGUGAUUUUAUAAAAUCCCUGAUUUUGACUAGUGAUUUUACAAAAUCACUGAAAUAAUUAAGAUCUUUUUUACAGAUUCACUGAUUAAAUUCAGGAAAUUUGUAAAAUACAUUUAUUCAUUUUUAUUAAGAAUUUCUGUGAAAAAAGACUACAACAGUAACACAGAGGUUAAUCUAGUCUUUAUUUUAAUAUUAAGUGAGCGGUUUUCAUGCACAAAACAAGUGACAUACUGUAGAACAAAGGCUCAGGCACAAAUGUCUUGAAAUCAAGAGCAAACGUACAUACAAAAGUUACUUCAAUGGAUUGAGGUAAAAUUAAAGUGCAACAUAUGGAACCAGGGAAAAUAUGAUAAACAUUUUGGAAUAUUUUGUCAAUAAGCCACAAAAAGAAGACAAAACAAGCUCUUAUCACUACCUGUUUGAAAGAAAGUUACUGUUUAUUAUAGUUUUUCUGUAUAAUUACUGUAGAUAAUAAAAUCAAUUAUAUAAUUUUUUUAAAUCAAAUAUAACUGAACAUUAGGUUGAUUGCUGUCAUUUGAGAAGAAAAACACAUAUGCAAGGUAUAAGAAAUUAAGUGGGUUAGGGUAUGUGAUCCAGUGGCAAAUAUUACAUGCAUAUCAGAUCAAGAGCAUCUUAUUGCUGCAUGAAAAUUGAUAUAUAAAAAGCAAAUAAAGGUUGUAUUAUUAAUUUGCUGCCUACAAAAUAACAUUUAUAUUCACAAAAUAAUAAUAAAAAAAACAGAAAAUAUUGGUAAUAAUACUUUGUUUUGUAUUUGCAUGUUUAUGAAUAGGUUAAUCUAACCAAGCAAAAAUAAACAAAGUUUUACCUACUUUGGUCAUUUAUCAGACACAUGUAUUCUAUCAAAAAGUGGUAUAACUUUGAAUAAGUUUCUAAAAUUUCUCAUCUCUUUUAAUCCAAAUAAAGUAAAUAUUUUGUUGAGAAAUGAAGGUAUGUAGUUCUUCAAUGUGAAGAUUUGAAAAAAAUUUGUUAAAAACGAUAUUCAUCAGAUGAAGAUGUUUUAAAAAUAUUAUGUAUGUCUUGAAGACAUGUAAAGCAUAGUUAAGAAAUAGCUUAAAAUGGUAGGAAUGUCACCCAAACUUGUCUUGCAAAAAUAAGCAAAUUCAGAGUGGUCUAAAUAGCCUUUUAAAUGACUUUUAGUCAUUAUCAUUAUACACGAGUUCUAGCUCAUAGUACAAAUAUAUUUCUAAAUCAUAAGUGAUCAUUCAUUUGGUCUAUCUUUAUAUUAAGAAAAACACAUUUCUAAUAGCCUGUUAUACUUUAUUGUAAUCAGGGAUUUUACAAAAUCCCUAGCUCUAUUUUCAGUGAUUUUGUAAAAUCCCUAACAAUUUCAGGGAUUUUACAAAACCACUGAAACUGUUAGUGAUUUUACACAAUCACUGAUUAGUCCAGUGAUUUUACAAAAUCCCUGAUUUUACAAACUCCCUGUAACAUAUACACAUAUACCUGCAAGAGAGAUCAGUAAAAUACCUUAAGGAUAUUCAGACCCACAAG